UGUGUUCAGAUACUUUCUUGAGUAAUAAUCCAUGUGUUCAUUGAUCGAUACUCUCACUGUAACCUACACAUUUACUUUAUGCAGAAAUGAAGUCAGUAGAGGGGUAAGUCAUGCACUAUCAGUGGAGUUGUGUGAUGUAUGGUAAUGGUGACUAAGCUAGAGUUUAGUACAUUGAAUCAUCCAAGGUUAGUAAUGAUUUACUUUCACCUUUCAUAUCUGCAGAAGUGAAGUAGUGAUUUUACAUUAUGUAAGUCCUUCCUGUUUUCAAA
This 269-nucleotide long non-coding RNA is filed under the name Brassica napus (rape). RNAcentral's name for it is "long non-coding RNA (BNAP_LNC015660)". Lineage: Eukaryota; Viridiplantae; Streptophyta; Magnoliopsida; Brassicales; Brassicaceae. The record is from RNAcentral.